Molecule: transfer RNA, 71 nt
Filed under: Seminavis robusta
Lineage: Eukaryota; Bacillariophyta; Bacillariophyceae; Naviculales; Naviculaceae
Rfam family: tRNA
About the family: Transfer RNA (tRNA) molecules are approximately 80 nucleotides in length. Their secondary structure includes four short double-helical elements and three loops (D, anti-codon, and T loops). Further hydrogen bonds mediate the characteristic L-shaped molecular structure. tRNAs have two regions of fundamental functional importance: the anti-codon, which is responsible for specific mRNA codon recognition, and the 3' end, to which the tRNAs corresponding amino acid is attached (by aminoacyl-tRNA synthetases). tRNAs cope with the degeneracy of the genetic code in two manners: having more than one tRNA (with a specific anti-codon) for a particular amino acid; and 'wobble' base-pairing, i.e. permitting non-standard base-pairing at the 3rd anti-codon position.
Source: Rfam by way of RNAcentral
GCCGAGAUAUUACAAUGGAAGUAUGCCUCCUUAGGAUGGUGGCGAUCUGAGUUCGAUUCUCAGUCUUGGUC